UCGUAUUUGGUGUCGUAAAGAAUGUUUUUCCUUAUAUUUUGGCAAAAGUUUAGGGUUUUCACCCCAAACUCUCCUCCAAUUGAGUCCCUAAAAUGGAGAUCAACUAUUCGAAUGCUUAAGCAAUUCUCCAUAUUUGGCAAUCCAUUGUACAUCCUCAAAUCUGAUUUCCUGCUUUUCCAGUCAUUGAUCCCGCAUCUCCUCUUCGACCGUUUGGUGCCCUUGUUGUUUUCACCCCUCUCUCGCAUCGCAACCACCAUCAACGGUAGACUCUCCAUCAGAAAUCAAUGGGGCUGCAUGUCUACUGUAAGACUGUGAUGAUGGUUGUAAUUUAUAUUCGGGAGGGGGUUAAUUCACAAAUGUUAAUAGGGCUCGAUCGAUAUAGCAGGAGAAGUAAUGUGGCUCAGUUUUCUUUGUUGGAUUAACCCCCUCGACUGUGAUGAUGACAAAACUUCGUGGGGCCACAGAAAAUUUAGUACAUACAUCCAUGACAUGAUAAUCCGGACAGCCAACAAGUAGUGGUAACCGAUUGUUACAGCCAUUAAAGGGUGUCAAUUUUCCUAUAUGUCACCAUUUAGUUCUUGAGCCAGUUAACGAAAUCAAGUUCUCUAUUUUUCUUGUUUUGUAUGAUUUUAGUUGUGUAUCCCUCAGCUGUAAUGAUUACACAGUUGAGACAAUGGUUUGGGUAUGUUGGAGGGCUUCGCAAGAUAAAGUUGAGUGUCGAGAAUGAAAAAGUUCAUUGUUUGUCUACAAACUUGAAGCAAAAUAAAAGAUAACACUAUCCAAUGCCUGAGUCAAGUAGUAGCACUAGCAAUAUCUCACACUCAGCAAACUAUCUUCAAUAUGUAUACUCAGUGUGUUAUUGUGGUAUUAAAACAUCUCGAUGAACUGCUCAUACUGAGGAUAAUGAGGGGCACCGGUUUUUCGGUUGCGUAAGCUAUGAGGUAAUUUUACAAAUUAUUGAUGGCCUGAUUUUUAUGAA
Long non-coding RNA from Juglans regia (Persian walnut), 979 nucleotides. RefSeq lists it as uncharacterized. NCBI's taxonomy places the organism in Eukaryota, Viridiplantae, Streptophyta, Magnoliopsida, Fagales, Juglandaceae. The record is from RefSeq and is a predicted model, not a curated record. The transcript is spliced from 3 exons.